UCGGUCUCGCCGGCCGGCUGCGGCGCUGCCUUACGCUCCCGGUCUCCCUGUCUCCCUCCAUUCUUGCCUCACCCCUGCCCUAGACCAGCAAAUAUCCAAUAUAUUUGUUUCUCCGCACCCCAGGCCUCAGCGCAGCCAGCUCAGCGCUCGGGGAUCGCUGCCCCCGCACUGGGUCCUUAUGCGCUUUGCUUCCAGUCCCACCGACUGCAGCAUCUUUCUUUGCUAGCUGCCCGGGUAAAACGCUUCUGUCGCACUUUCCUGCUUCUCCCCCUUUCUUUCCGCCUCUGGAUCUGAGAAAGAAAUAAAACCAAGCCUCCUACCGCACCAGCCCUCCCCACCCCUGCUGCCUCACUUCUCCUUACCGAGUGUACCGCCUUGUUUUCUGAAGGAAACCGUAACAUUCAGACAUUUAAGCUGUAAAUGAACUUUUCUUUAUGACGUUUAAUUUUCUCUCCAAUUCUUAGGUCCUGCUCCGCUUCGCAGUGGAAUGGAACGGAUUUAGAAGCCUGCAGUAGGGGAGUGGGGAGUGGAGAGAGGGAGCCCAGAGUUACAGACUGCGGCGAGAGGCCCCAAAGAGUCUGAUGUUUACAAGACCAGAAAUGCCACGGCCGCGUCCUGGCAGAGAAAAGGCUGAAAUGGAGGACCGGCGCCUUCCUUAUAAGCUCGUUGGGGCCUAAGCCAGUACCGACCUGGUAGAAAAAGCAACCACGAAGCUAGAGAGAGAGCCAGAGGAGGGAAGAGAGCGCCAGACGAAGGUGAAAGCGAACCACGCAGAGAAAUGCAGGCAAAGGAGCAAGGCGGCAGUUCCCGGAACAAACGUGGCAGAGGGCAAGACGGGCACUCACAGACAGAGGAGUGAUUAUGCAGUGGGACCCUGCUGCAAACGGGACUUUGCACUCUAAAUAUAGACCCCAGCUUGGGACAAAAGUUGCAGUAGAAAAAUAGACAUAGGAGAACACUUAAAUAAGUGAUGCAUGUAGACACAGAAGGGGUAUUUAAAAGACAGAAAUAAUAGAAGUACAGAAGAACAGAAAAAAACUCAGCAGAUGGAGAUUACCAUUCCCAAUGCCUGAACUUCCUCCUGCUAUUAAGAUUGCUAGAGAAUUGUGUCUUAAACAGUUCAUGAACCCAGAAGAAUGCAAUUUCAAUGUAUUUAGUACACACACAGUAUGUAUAUAAACACAACUCACAGAAUAUAUUUUCCAUACAUUGGGUAGGUAUGCACUUUGUGUAUAUAUAAUAAUGUAUUUACCAUGCAGUUUUAAAAUGUAGAUAUAUUAAUAUCUGGAUGCAUUUUCUGUGCACUGGUUUUAUAUGCCUUAUG
RNAcentral lists this long non-coding RNA (1324 nucleotides) under Pan troglodytes (chimpanzee). RNAcentral describes it as "long non-coding RNA NONPTRT003451". Lineage: Eukaryota; Metazoa; Chordata; Mammalia; Primates; Hominidae. The record is from RNAcentral.